Molecule: RNA transcript, 1397 nt
Organism: Olea europaea var. sylvestris
Lineage: Eukaryota; Viridiplantae; Streptophyta; Magnoliopsida; Lamiales; Oleaceae
Exons: 4
Source: RefSeq, a predicted model, not a curated record
AACACGAACCAUUGCCCUCCUUGGACCAAAGAAUGUAAAUCAUGAAGAAGCAAUGGAAAAGUUUCUCAAAGAUACUCUUUCUGUUGACUUCGAAGUAAGAAAUAUUUGCUUAUUAAUGUUAAAUUUUUAUUUAGUUGUUUCUAUUUUUAUUGUUUUGUUUUCUUAAUGGGAAAAAAGUUCCAAGUUCGGGAAAAUGAGAAAGGGUCAAAAGCUUCCUCACACUUUGGGUCGAAAUGCUUUUUCACGUACGGCUCAUGAGAUGGUACAAUUACACACCUAUCUUGUCUGGUUAGGAAUGGAGUUUCAUUUCUUCUUAGUUAUAGGUAUUACACACCAUUGUUGAUUUCCUUCAAGUAUUCAUUACGUAAUUACUGGAUUUAUAUUGUAGAGAAAAAAGAAUCCGGGCUUAAAGGGGUUAAGAACUAGAGUAUGGAUGCAUGGACAUCUUAGAAAUGAUGAAAAGGAUAGAAGAUUGUGCCCAAUCAAUUUCUGAUACACCAGCAGAAAAUUCCAUCCACGAUGAUGGUGUUGCUCGAAUUUUAGGUCCUGAACAUCGUGAAAGAGUUAGAGGACUUGGAUUUGUAGUUUCACCAUCGAAAGUGGAUGGACAAUUCAAAUUAAUGGGAGAGUGAGAGAACUUGAUGAAAAGGUUGGAGCACUAGAAGAAAGGUUGAAGCACUUCUUAAAUUAUCUCAACAGAAUCAAAACAAGAAUGUAGACGACUUGAGUUCACGUGCUUUUACUCAGUCACAACAAGGAAGUGGUAUCUAUGGAGGGAUUGCACAUACGGAACAUGCAAGGUUUCAACUGUUGCAUUGGUGCAUAUUUAAAGAGGAAGAAAUUGUAGUUGAAGGAAGGAUUGCAUCAAUAGACCCAAGUGCAAAGGUCAUCACAUACCAAUCGGACGAGAUUGUUGGACUGUUUGGGUUGAGGAAGUGCAUAUGGGCCAUUUGAACUUAUGUAGACCUACUGAUGAAUUUUGAGUGCUUAGAGAAGCCAUAGGAAGUAUAGUUGUUUGGCUAAAGAGCAGUAUUAGACUUAUUUAACAAGGUAUGUAAUGCAUUUCUGCAUUUUUGUUUCUGUGUGUAAUAUCUGUACUUGCUAGGAAAAAAUGGUUUGAUGGAUGAAAAACAAGCACACUCCGGUGUGGUUUAGAGGCUUACUUGGGUGUAAGCCUCUGGAAAUUGAGGCAUAAGUCCUGACCAAUAGCACAUAAGGUGUAAAAUUUGGAGGGCAACCAAAAUAUGCUCAAUAUCUUUGUUGUUCACUUCACUCUUUCCUCUCAGAGUUUCUAGCAAAUAAUGUAUCAGAAGAUUACGAGAACCAUAUUUUGCACCCGUCAAAUCUUUAUUCAAGAAAAUAUUACCAACAUGUUAUACAUAUCAUUUAUUUCUCAA